AAGGAGCUUGCUCCUUUGACGUUAGCGGCGGACGGGUGAGUAACACGUGGGCAACCUACCCUAUAGUUUGGGAUAACUCCGGGAAACCGGGGCUAAUACCGAAUAAUCUCUUUUGCUUCAUGGUGAAAGACUGAAAGACGGUUUCGGCUGUCGCUAUAGGAUGGGCCCGCGGCGCAUUAGCUAGUUGGUGAGGUAACGGCUCACCAAGGCGACGAUGCGUAGCCGACCUGAGAGGGUGAUCGGCCACACUGGGACUGAGACACGGCCCAGACUCCUACGGGAGGCAGCAGUAGGGAAUCUUCCACAAUGGGCGAAAGCCUGAUGGAGCAACGCCGCGUGAGUGAAGAAGGUUUUCGGAUCGUAAAACUCUGUUGUAAGGGAAGAACAAGUACAGUAGUAACUGGCUGUACCUUGACGGUACCUUAUUAGAAAGCCACGGCUAACUACGUGCCAGCAGCCGCGGUAAUACGUAGGUGGCAAGCGUUGUCCGGAAUUAUUGGGCGUAAAGCGCGCGCAGGCGGUCCUUUAAGUCUGAUGUGAAAGCCCACGGCUCAACCGUGGAGGGUCAUUGGAAACUGGGGGACUUGAGUGCAGAAGAGGAAAGUGGAAUUCCAAGUGUAGCGGUGAAAUGCGUAGAGAUUUGGAGGAACACCAGUGGCGAAGGCGAC
Molecule: ribosomal RNA, 668 nt
Filed under: Lysinibacillus sphaericus
Lineage: Bacteria; Bacillati; Bacillota; Bacilli; Caryophanales; Bacillaceae
Description: bacterial SSU rRNA
Rfam family: Bacterial small subunit ribosomal RNA
Source: RNAcentral